Hyalella azteca is the source of this 300-nucleotide long non-coding RNA. RefSeq lists it as uncharacterized. The record is from RefSeq and is a predicted model, not a curated record. The transcript is spliced from 3 exons. NCBI's taxonomy places the organism in Eukaryota, Metazoa, Arthropoda, Malacostraca, Amphipoda, Hyalellidae.
AAGGGGCAAUUUUAAAUGUCAGAGGGAAGAUCGGAGAAAUUCGACAAAAUGCCCAACGACAUCACAAGCCGAAAAGAAAGUACGCAACUGAGAGAGGAAUGUCGCAGUCUCCUGAGGAAAACUUGCGCAGCGCAGCAAAGGGACCGCGCCGGGGUUAUGUUGACGAUGCGACGGGGCCACAAAGGAGUGUAUCAGAACUUGGGUCUUUAGGCCACCUCAGCACACUGAACAGCGCGGACGCCGACCACCGCGAUGUGCUGAAAGUUUCCAGAACUCGUGGACGCUCAUCGAACCAAAGAA